AACGAACGCUGGCGGCGUGCCUAACACAUGCAAGUCGAGCGGGAAAGUUCCCUUCGGGGAGCGAGUACAGCGGCGAACGGGUGAGUAACACGUAGGCAACCUACCCCGGAGACCGGGAUAACCUGUCGAAAGGCGGGCUAAUACCGGAUAAGACCACGAGGGCCUCGGCCCUUGAGGUAAAAGGUGGCCUCUGCUUGCAAGCUAUCACUCCAGGAUGGGCCUGCGCGCCAUUAGCUAGNGGUGAGGUAACGGCUCACCAAGGCGAAGAUGGCUAGCUGGUCUGAGAGGAUGGCCAGCCACACUGGGACUGAGAUACGGCCCAGACUCCUACGGGAGGCAGCAGUGGGGAAUCUUGCGCAAUGGGCGAAAGCCUGACGCAGCGACGCCGCGUGGGUGAUGAAGGCC
Molecule: ribosomal RNA, 405 nt
Filed under: uncultured bacterium
Lineage: Bacteria
Description: bacterial SSU rRNA
Rfam family: Bacterial small subunit ribosomal RNA
Source: RNAcentral